GGCUUUCUAUUAUAUUGUGUAUGUUUGAUUUCCAAUCAAGAGGUUAAAGGGUCA
Molecule: transfer RNA, 54 nt
Filed under: Clavinema parasiluri
Lineage: Eukaryota; Metazoa; Nematoda; Chromadorea; Rhabditida; Philometridae
Description: tRNA-Gly
Source: RNAcentral